Molecule: transfer RNA, 76 nt
Filed under: Deltaproteobacteria bacterium
Lineage: Bacteria; Pseudomonadati; Myxococcota; Myxococcia
Description: tRNA-Thr
Rfam family: tRNA
About the family: Transfer RNA (tRNA) molecules are approximately 80 nucleotides in length. Their secondary structure includes four short double-helical elements and three loops (D, anti-codon, and T loops). Further hydrogen bonds mediate the characteristic L-shaped molecular structure. tRNAs have two regions of fundamental functional importance: the anti-codon, which is responsible for specific mRNA codon recognition, and the 3' end, to which the tRNAs corresponding amino acid is attached (by aminoacyl-tRNA synthetases). tRNAs cope with the degeneracy of the genetic code in two manners: having more than one tRNA (with a specific anti-codon) for a particular amino acid; and 'wobble' base-pairing, i.e. permitting non-standard base-pairing at the 3rd anti-codon position.
Source: RNAcentral
GCCGACAUAGCUCAAUUGGCAGAGCAGCUGAUUUGUAAUCAGCAGGUUGCGGGUUCAAGUCCCAUUGUCGGCUCCA